GAGGGAAUGGUUUUUUUCUUCUUCCAGGAGCCAGAAAAAGUGAUCGUUAGAUUUGUCUUGUAAAAUAAAACUGUUCCGUGGCAGGGACGAGCCUUUAAGCUUCUCCGGUGUAUCUGGCACCCUGGCUUCUCUCUGGGAGGAAGGAAGAGUGUCUAUUCAUGGGCUGUGACUUGGAGAGGCCCCACGGGAAAGCCCUUGGACUGACACUUACCACCAUGUGGAUCUUGGAGAAAAGCAAAAGAGAUCCUGAUCCUCAACACUGAUGUUCUAAAAGAACGUGCCUGAGGCUUUCUAUUCUCUACCACACGAUGUUGAAGCAAGGACAGCCAUUCAUGACUGUGGGAUACAGAUGCCCCCUAGCAUUAUGAAUGGCAUCCCUGAAUACCACUGUGGAGCCUACACAUCUGAAAAUGUUACUGCCGAACCUGUAGGUUUUCACUAGCUGGCUCCACCUGAUGUGGCUGAUGUAGCCUCAGUCUGGGACACAGUUUUCCUACUCAAUGCCAGGACGCCUGGGCAAUGUGGCACCCACACUGUCAUUCCUAUCUGUUUGAGUGUACCCCUCUUCUUCCCCAACACCACCGGCCAAGCAGAUUACAUUAUCCUAAGCAGCCAGCAGGAAAAUAAAAAUGGAAUGUGAUUCUGUAUUUUAGUGCCCACUUCUGAAGAUUCCUCCACCAUAGUUAUGAUGCCCAAUUGGAUGCCCAGUACACAGAAACUUGUGCCCUUGAACACACCUUCUACCCUGUGCAUCCUUGUGACAGCCUUUCUGAUGUCAGCCUAUGCUUCCACGACCUGGGUCAAGAGCUGCACUUGCCCAGGGAGCCUAUCACAGCAUUACAGGUGAUGACCUGAUCCCAGACAACCACCCCUCAGAAAAUGACUACCCAGUUACACACAUCAUCUGCCAAGGUGCCCCUGCCAGAACACAGGCAUCUUCCCCUCAGGGGAUAGCCCACUCAGCAUAUACCAUACACUCAAAAGAGGUGAACACCAGACAGACCUGCAAACUUAACCCUCUCCUCCCCGUUGGGCACAAUAAACCC
This is a long non-coding RNA of Bos taurus (domestic cattle), 1046 nucleotides long. The record is from Ensembl. Lineage: Eukaryota; Metazoa; Chordata; Mammalia; Artiodactyla; Bovidae.